Molecule: long non-coding RNA, 3059 nt
Filed under: Sus scrofa (pig)
Lineage: Eukaryota; Metazoa; Chordata; Mammalia; Artiodactyla; Suidae
Description: lncRNA (ENSSSCG00005019298.1)
Source: RNAcentral
AUGCUGGCUGCUGAAUGGUGCUGGCCAUCAUCAGCUUUUGUUUACUUCAUCCUCCGUGUGAAGAUAGCAGCUGUUUCUUUCAGUAAAAAAGAAGUAAAAGAAUGUAGCGACCUACCUCACAUUUCCCCCCUCCUCCUCCAAAUGUUUGUGGAGCCCAACAGCUGUCUUUGCAAAUCCUGCCACUCAGGAUUGCAAUGGCUGUACAUAAUCAAGCAUGGAGUGCUGAAGCUGAGAUUGUUGGCUGGCUCCAGGAGGCAGUUGCUGCGUAAGAAAUGACUAAUUCAUUAUGAUCUUGAGGCCGUGCAGACUGACCUAUAAUCUUAGAAUUACUAAGCCAUUAUGAAAGGUUUUCUAUUAGGUAAGUUUCCAUCCCUUUACCAUUCAACAUUUUGCUAACUCAAAGCAUUUUUACAAAUAUUUAAUUGAUUGGAAUCUGGAAAAGUAAUAAGCUUUUUUUCUGUUCUUAUAUGGCAUCCCCAAUAUCACAGUCUAUAACUGAUUUGAAAGAUUACCUAUAGCCCCUGGAUAUUCUUCUCCCCAUGUUAAAAGAAAGCAGGAAAAAUGAGAUUUGUGGAUGCAUCAUUACAAAUCGAGAUCAGUGGCGGGUGAAAAUUCUGGGAUUCAAUAAAGGAAGUUGCACCCAAGAGUAAGCUUGUUAAUGAAACAAUUUUUUACUAGUCACUGACUUCUUCCUUUAUUUUCUGGGUAAACAAGUUGAGAAUGCUGAGUGUUGUGGGCUGGUCCCCCGGUUUCUCUGCAAUACAUUGUCUGGACGUUAUUACUGAAAUGCACGUCAUUGUCUGCCCUUUAGUCCCCGGGGCCUGUGGGAGCUGUUGUGACUUGCUCCUUCCCAGUGUUCAGAUCCUCUAGCUGCUCUGUCAACACUUUAAGGUCAAGUCUCCGAUCAGGACUGGCCAGGCUCACUUUUUCUUGUUGGCAGUAGAUUCUCUUUCACUGUGAUCAGACCUCAGAUCAGCCUCUGCCCCAAAGAGACUGGAUCAGCAGUGAAAGGUAGAACACUUCACAUUGAAAUGGCCCACAGAGUAGAUACAGGGUCAUGUUAAGAUCUGGAUAGAGUUUCACAGCAGGUUGAAAAUGGUAUCAAUUAAAAAAAAAAAAUUGUGACUUAAUAUUGAGGCGGAUUAUCCAUUACUAGCCUGCUCCCUGCCUCCCCUUUAAGAGUGAGGAAGUAGCUGAUCAUAAUCAUGACUGCAUUCGCUAAGGAUUACGGGUGUCCAGACGGGUGGGCGUGGUUUCAAGUGCUUUUUCUGCUUUAUCUCACUUAGUCCUCUUCCCAUCCGUAGGUGGUAUUUCCCUUUCAAGGGGUUAAACAAAAGAAUGCCCUAAACACUUAACACAGCAUCUGAUAAUGCAUGAAGAAAUGUUAGCUUACUAUCAUCACUAAUCAUCAAAAAAGACUCAUCAGCGAGCGUUGUGCUCGUAAAGCUGAGUCUUUCAGAAUCCUACCAGUUCAGGAUAGACAUUUUCCGUUGGGGGAAGAAUGCACCCAGUGAAAUAGUAUACCCUUAUGCAAAGUUACAUUUCUGUAUUUCAGUGGCUAAUAAUCUAAACAAGGGAGGGAAGGACAAAAGAAAUUUUUCAUCGCCACUCCUAGUGACUAAAGUGCAUCCCGUGUGCAGGUGUGGGUGACAUACGACUUCCGUGGGCCAUCCCCUCUCCAGUGUAAUAGCAACGUUUCUGCUGAUCAGGGAUUCAGUCUCAAAGCCUCAAAUGUCCAAGGGGGGAAAUGGGAUGCCUGGGCAGACAGUGGGAAUGCUUUGUUCAAACAGAAGUGAAGCUCGAGAGCAAAGAUGCUAUAGAGGAAAUUCAGCCCUCCGUUAAAUGCCCUUUAAGGUCAUAUCUUACUCUAAAAAUGUAUGAUGUCGAGAACACAUGUUGAUAACAUUUUUAACAGAUUAAAGUGAAGACUCCAUCACGUAAUUGCCAGGUGUACCUUUCAGAAGUAACUCUUAAUGAAACCCUAUAUUUAAUUAAAUCUUUAACUUUGAAAAAAAUCUGCCUUAAAAAUGGACACUCAAGAGUUUAACAUUAGAGUCCUGAAUGGGCACAGUUGGGAUGGGCAAGAAGGAGGUCAGAGGAGCAUGAUUCAGUCAUGAUGUUGGCUACAGGCCGAUAGGACCAGGAUUAAAAUGUGACCCUGAACCCAGUUAGCUGUGUGACCUUGGAAAAGUGGUGAAAUCACCUCUUGAUGUGGAUUUUUGCCUCUGUAAAAUAAAAUACUUUAAAGAGUCUUUAUGAGGAUUAUAUGAGAUUGUGCAUAUAAAGUACUCAGCACAUAUUAGAUACUCAGUCAAUAAUAGCGAUAAUGAGGAGACCCAGCAAGUACCUUAGGCUCUAAUGAUUCUGAACAACAAAGAGGUAAUUUUCAAGUCUAUUCAAAAACAUAAAUGAUUUUCUCAUCUUGCCAAAUAUUUCGGCCUAUCAAACCCCUCUUAUCCUCACAAAACAGCUCAGAAAAAUGCAGUACCAUACAGGAAAGGAUAGAAAGGUGGAUUAAGUGUUCCUUCCAGGUAAUACCUCACAGGUGAUGCAUAUUUGCAUCCAGUUAGUCCCGAACAAUCUUAAACAUACGGUAGACCUUCAAUAAAUGGAACCAAGCAGAAUAGGAAGCACGUAGCAUUACCAACAUUCCCUGAGGAAAUAACCAGUGUUUCAGAAUUUCCCAAGGGGCAGCAGAGAUGUGAAACUCACUGAUGCAAAUUCCAUGGGAUCCGGAAAUUAUCUGUAGUUAAGUGCAAAUAGAUACAGGAAACUAACCAUCUCAAUGAGUCUGGAUAAUUAUAGGAAACACCGUGGACAAGCAUUAGGAGAUACACAAUCUGGAGAUGGACAGGUAGGGGGAUUGCAGACAGAGGCAGAGAAGUGACCAAAUCCCCAAUGAGGAGGAACUGGACAUUACACCAGACCCACCGUGUUAUUAUUUGCUGCAUGACUCACUUACAGUGAAUUGUGUCUCACUUUUAUUCUGUAGUAUAUUGUCAUUCUCUGUUAAUAUUGUUAUUAUUAUUGUUAAUGACAGCAACAGAAUAACUGAAGCC